This 1070-nucleotide ribosomal RNA is filed under the name fungal endophyte. Its description in RNAcentral is "eukaryotic LSU rRNA". The stretch from base 492 to 1070 matches the Rfam family "Eukaryotic large subunit ribosomal RNA", at positions 1 to 591 of the family's 3401-position model. Lineage: Eukaryota; Fungi. The record is from RNAcentral.
UUACUGAGUUUACGCUCUACAACCCUUUGUGAACAUACCUAUAACUGUUGCUUCGGCGGGUAGGGUCUCCGUGACCCUCCCGGCCUCCCGCCCCCGGGCGGGUCGGCGCCCGCCGGAGGAUAACCAAACUCUGAUUUAACGACGUUUCUUCUGAGUGGUACAAGCAAAUAAUCAAAACUUUUAACAACGGAUCUCUUGGUUCUGGCAUCGAUGAAGAACGCAGCGAAAUGCGAUAAGUAAUGUGAAUUGCAGAAUUCAGUGAAUCAUCGAAUCUUUGAACGCACAUUGCGCCCGCCAGCAUUCUGGCGGGCAUGCCUGUUCGAGCGUCAUUUCAACCCUCAAGCUCUGCUUGGUGUUGGGGCCCUACAGCUGAUGUAGGCCCUCAAAGGUAGUGGCGGACCCUCCCGGAGCCUCCUUUGCGUAGUAACUUUACGUCUCGCACUGGGAUCCGGAGGGACUCUUGCCGUAAAACCCCCCAAUUUUCCAAAGGUUGACCUCGGAUCAGGUAGGAAUACCCGCUGAACUUAAGCAUAUCAAUAAGCGGAGGAAAAGAAACCAACAGGGAUUGCCUCAGUAACGGCGAGUGAAGCGGCAACAGCUCAAAUUUGAAAUCUGGCCCUAGGCCCGAGUUGUAAUUUGCAGAGGAUGCUUUUGGUGCGGUGCCUUCCAAGUUCCCUAGAACGGGACGCCAGAGAGGGUGAGAGCCCCGUACAGUUGGACACCAAGCCUUUGUAAAGCUCCUUCGACGAGUCGAGUAGUUUGGGAAUGCUGCUCAAAAUGGGAGGUAUAUUUCUUCUAAAGCUAAAUACCGGCCAGAGACCGAUAGCGCACAAGUAGAGUGAUCGAAAGAUGAAAAGCACUUUGAAAAGAGGGUUAAACAGCACGUGAAAUUGUUAAAAGGGAAGCGCUUGUGACCAGACUUGCGUCCGGUGAAUCACCCAGCUCUCGCGGCUGGGGCACUUCGCCGGCUCAGGCCAGCAUCAGCUCGCUGUCGGGGACAAAAGCUUCAGGAACGUAGCUCUCUUCGGGGAGUGUUAUAGCCUGUUGCAUAAUACCCUUCGGCGGGCUGA